AGAGAACGUUUAAAAGUCCAUCUGUUACCAUCGUACAGUGAACGUGAAACUCAUCUUCUGUGAUCGAAUAAGAAAUUGUUUUCGGGUAUUCUCACAACUAUGAAGCUUGUGCUUGUUACUAUGGUUGCCUUGCUGUCAAUCACCUGGGUUAGCUCCUCCUUCUUGCGAUCCAAGUUGACGCUUGACGACUUUAACGACGAGGAGCCUUGGCUUGAAAAGCGUGAGCCUUGUGAGGCUGGAUCGUACUGCGAACGAAGCUGCUCCCUGUCCAGCCCUAAUUUCUUGGGUAUUGUGGGCUUUUGUAGCAACGGACGCAAAUGUUGCGCGUAUGAAGGCUGAUGCAAGUCCUUAUGGUGAGGAAAGGAUCCUACAACUUUACAAAGGAUCAGAAUUCCUAAAACCCAAAUUAUACUUUGCAUGGGUCGUUUAAACAGUUCCAGUAAAUGUUAUUCCACAAAAUAAAAAUGGCUUACUGUGAUUGGUUA
Long non-coding RNA from Stylophora pistillata, 485 nucleotides. RefSeq lists it as uncharacterized. The record is from RefSeq and is a predicted model, not a curated record. Lineage: Eukaryota; Metazoa; Cnidaria; Anthozoa; Scleractinia; Pocilloporidae.